CCUACGGGUGGCAGCAGUGAGGAAUAUUGGUCAAUGGGCGCAAGCCUGAACCAGCCAAGUCGCGUGAGGGAAGACGGUCCUAUGGGUUGUAAACCUCUUUUGUCGGGGGGCAAAAGACGCCACGCGUAGCGUUCCGAGAGUACCCGAAGAAAAAGCAUCGGCUAACUCCGUGCCAGCAGCCGCGGUAAUACGGAGGAUGCGAGCGUUAUCCGGAUUUAUUGGGUUUAAAGGGUGCGCAGGCGGAGGAUCAAGUCAGCGGUAAAAUUUAGGGGCUCAACCUCGUCGAGCCGUUGAAACUGGUGUUCUUGAGUGAGUGAGAAGUAUGCGGAAUGCGUGGUGUAGCGGUGAAAUGCUUAGAUAUCACGCAGAACUCCGAUUGCGAAGGCAGCAUACCGGCGUUCAACUGACGCUCAGGCACGAAAGUGUGGGUAUCGAACAGGAUUAGAUACCCGUGUAGUC
RNAcentral lists this ribosomal RNA (459 nucleotides) under uncultured bacterium. Its description in RNAcentral is "partial 16S ribosomal RNA". It matches the Rfam family "Bacterial small subunit ribosomal RNA", at positions 338 to 795 of the family's 1533-position model. The record is from RNAcentral.